GAUGAACGCUGGCGGCGUGCCUAAUACAUGCAAGUCGAGCGAACAGACGAGGAGCUUGCUCCUCUGACGUUAGCGGCGGACGGGGGAGUAACACGUGGAUAACCUACCUAUAAGACUGGGAUAACUUCGGGAAACCGGAGCUAAUACCGGAUAAUAUAUUGAACCGCAUGGUUCAAUAGUGAAAGACGGUUUUGCUGUCACUUAUAGAUGGAUCCGCGCCGCAUUAGCUAGUUGGUAAGGUAACGGCUUACCAAGGCAACGAUGCGUAGCCGACCUGAGAGGGUGAUCGGCCACACUGGAACUGAGACACGGUCCAGACUCCUACGGGAGGCAGCAGUAGGGAAUCUUCCGCAAUGGGCGAGAGCCUGACGGAGCAACGCCGCGUGAGUGAUGAAGGUCUUCGGCUCGUAAAACUCUGUUAUUAGGGAAGAACAAAUGUGUAAGUAACUAUGCACGUCUUGACGGUACCUAAUCAGAAAGCCACGGCUAACUACGUG
RNAcentral lists this ribosomal RNA (497 nucleotides) under uncultured bacterium. Its description in RNAcentral is "partial 16S ribosomal RNA". It matches the Rfam family "Bacterial small subunit ribosomal RNA", at positions 28 to 507 of the family's 1533-position model. The record is from RNAcentral.